RNAcentral lists this ribosomal RNA (345 nucleotides) under uncultured bacterium. RNAcentral's name for it is "bacterial SSU rRNA". It matches the Rfam family "Bacterial small subunit ribosomal RNA", at positions 8 to 334 of the family's 1533-position model. The record is from RNAcentral.
AGGGUUCGAUUAUGGCUCAGGAUGAACGCUGGCGGCGUGCUCAACACAUGCAAGUCGAACGGAGAGCUCAUGACAGAGGAUUCGUCCAAUGGAUUGAGUUUCUUAGUGGCGGACGGGUGAGUAACGCGUGAGGAACCUGCCUCGGAGUGGGGAAUAACAGUCCGAAAGGACUGCUAAUACCGCAUAAUGCAGUUGUGUCGCAUGACACUGACUGCCAAAGAUUUAUCGCUCUGAGAUGGCCUCGCGUCUGAUUAGCUGGUUGGCGGGGUAACGGCCCACCAAGGCGACGAUCAGUAGCCGGACUGAGAGGUUGGCCGGCCACAUUGGGACUGAGACACGGCCCAG